This 5312-nucleotide long non-coding RNA is filed under the name Gallus gallus (chicken). Lineage: Eukaryota; Metazoa; Chordata; Aves; Galliformes; Phasianidae. The record is from RNAcentral.
CUGUCUGGUACAACAAGUUCAGUCCCAGUGAAAUGCUCUUUUAAAUAAACGUGGCAGUGCAGUGCAUUCAGCCAAAGCGUGUGUGUAGCAACGCGGUAAGGCUGCCUUAAACUGGCCUCUUCCUGACUUCAGUUCAAAGACACGUUAUUAAAUGAGUUAAAAUUCUGCAAGCUGAGGGGAAGGGGCUAGAAAGAAAGACAUGAUAGGAAUCAGUGCAAAGAUGGUUUUCCAGAGUAAGUGCCCCACAGUUAGUGAUAAUGGAGUUGUUUAAAAGCAAAUCAUUCUGUCAUUACUUCACAGCUUUUGAUAAACAUACAAUUAGUUUGAAAUGAACAUAAAUAGAUGUGUUUGAAGCCCAAUGCAGCAAUACACAUUUAAUUGACUUCCGCAGGAAUAAAUACUUCUUGCCUGUGAAGAACUUAACAAGAAGGAUUUUCAGUGAAAAUUUUUUCUGCAUACACUGUAUUCAGUCUUGACUGGCAGUGGUGACGCUUAGGGUAUGUCAUGAUAAAUGAUAAAUUGUACAGAACCCUUCUCUGAAGGUGUUGCUUGAACUGGCUCAGAAGUAGUGCAAGAAAUAAAGUGGGCAACUUGGGGGUGAGUUGUAGCAGCUUGUCAGAUAGGGAUCUACUCCCAAAAGGCCAGGUGGGUUCUGCUAACUUACUGGCGUGGGUGAUUAAAUAGCUGUUGGAGCCGUGAUGGAAAUUGAGAUACUCCAUUGAGUGCUUCUUCCAAGGCAAGGAACUAUGAAAGCAUUAAUUGUAUUUACAGCUAUUUUUUUAAGGGAAUUCUAAGAAACAAAAUGGUCUGUAUAGGUUAUCUCAACUUACAUUCAGUUCCAGUGUUCAAUUGUCUGAACUGUUUGUCAUUUCUGUUGCUUUGCAGCAUGAGGCUGAGAUCCUGUGAGCCACUGUUGAAAGAAGCUGGUUCCCUCAUAAAUGGUGUCCCAUUUGUGUAGCAGUUGAUGGAGUUGUUGGCCCUGAAUAUAUACGCUCAUCCUCACUCCGUGUAGGCAGUAUGUGGGGCUGAUGCAUCCUCAGGUGCAGAACACUUCUAAUGUCAUCUUGUGAGUUCUGGGUAUAAUCCCAAAGUGCUGGCAGCAUGUGGUAGCAAAACGUUGACAUAAUUACCGAGCUUUGUAUUGGUAAAAAUACCAACUUACACAAAGAGCAAUCUUCAGUGCAUCUGAGAUUAAAUUGGACCUGGAUAUCAGAAUAGGGCUAUUGUCACUAAUUAAAGGACUCUAAUUUAGCCCAUUUACUUGUCUAUUUUAGAAGAACAGAAGGCAUUCAAAAGAGGAGACCAAGUUUUAAAGCCCUUCUAUUCAGUUCUGUUCCCUCUGUUGACUGUUUAGUAAGUCCACUACACAAUUAUGGUCUGAAGAUCAAAACGAAUUUCAUAAAUUCCACACACACAUUUUGGCAGCCAUGGGAGAUCACAGCAUACUGUUUGUGCCUGGAGAUAGCUUAGUACGGCCUCCAGUUCUAUUUUACCCUUUCUUGACCUGAAAGAAUGUAAAAGUAGAAGCAAUAUAUCAUUCUAAAGUUGCAGAUAAAAGAUGUGCGAAGGCUGAGCUGUUUCUUAGUGCCAUCAUGAGUCAGCAGUGCUUGAAAGGCUCUUUGGGACUGGGCCAUGCGGUACUGCUGCUGCUCACAGGUUUGGCUGGCCCAUGUGCAGUGGGGCAGUCUGUAAUUCCAGUUCCAGUGACCUUGGAGAUACGGCAGUGUAAUAUCCACAAACUUUGGUGGAGUGGCAUAUGGCUGUAAUAGGCAAGCUGUCUGCUCACCACAACUGCUUCUUUGGGCUUCAGACACAACAAUCUACUGACAAAGUAUGAGGAUAUUUGGUACCUAAGCCUGCUAUGUGGCUUAGGCAUUGGUCUGCCAUACAGCUGUUCUAUUUAGUUUUAGAAGGGGCAGCCAGUAAAAAGGAAGUAUUUUAACUUCUUCCUAGUAGUUCAAGCACUAAGUAUUUUAAACAGAUAGUACUUCUGGCUGAUCUCAUCUGGCUUUGAAUCACUAAUUUUAGCAAUAAAGCAACCCCUGGUGAACAGGAUGUGAAGAGAGAGAAACAUUAGGAAUUUAUUGGCACGUUCCUCCAUUAGUUUCAGUGUUAAACUCUAUUUGCAGAGGAACAGGAUGCAGAGCAAAAUAAAAGGAUAAAAAAAGAAGCUGGCUUGGCCAGAAAUUGACUUGAUUUUUGAACAGGGGCAAAUGGCUUCCCUACCUGCCUCGCUGCUUCACAUGUAUCUGGCUUGCAGUGCUGACUGACUUUCAGAGCCCCUGGCAACGAGUAGGAUGAGUGUGCUUAUUAUAAGUAGCAUUAAAUUCACUGUGUCGAGUCUGUACUGUUGCUGUAAAGUGGAAAACGUGGAAAAUACCUUCCAAGAUUAAUUUCAAAUUAGUCGAUCAGUUCAUCUUCAAAAUUGAGCCAUAAAGCCACAAUGCCAAGUUGCUGUUGUGUGUGAUUAGUUAGUAAAUAUUAUUCCAUUGCAAGAAAAAAAAAAAAGAUGGUGGAUUUUAGAAGACACUGAUGGGGGGAAGUGACUCAGAGCGCUUGAUGUGGUAUCAAACCAGAGCAAGACAAGUUAAGGACAUUUAAACUGGAGUAUUUUUGUAUAAACAAACAAACGUAGCCAUAAAGCCAGGCCAACCUGCCUUAUUUCUGUAUGUUCAUACAUGGUACAUAAGUAGAUAUGACUCCUCCCUGUGCCAGAUGGUUCUUGGAGAACUUUAGAUUUGACAAAAGCCCAACAGUGAGAAUCCACUUUGGACUGAUCUCUUGGAGUUCCCUAUUUGGAAAACAUUACAGAAAAAGAAAAUCUUCCAACGCUGAAAAAUACAUAAAAAGAAAGUUCUAUCUAUGCUUUUAGAAAGUAUUCUUUCUGCUUUUGUAAUGUAGGAGAGCACUAAAAAUUGUACUGGGUUACGUAUAUAGAUGCAUGCUUAUUUAUUUUAAACAAGGAAAUGGAGUUUUUUUAGGACAGACAAUACAAGUAUUUUAUAACUUUUAUAACAACUUCUCCCAGAAGACUUGACAUAAAUGGUAAUAUUGAUAAAGUAAUAAUUCUUUAUUGAAAUUGGAAGAAGGCAGGAAGUUUUAUAAAAUAUCACACCGCUUCCCAAUUUGCUUACAACGCAGUUUACUUAAUUUUGGGUACUGUUGUCCUCACGUAUGUAUAAUCCUGAUACCAAGAGUAACUACUCAAAUAUUGUAAGCUUCUUCUUAAAGGAUAAGUUGGUUAAAUGGACUGCAAUGCAAGAUAAGGAGAACUAAAAAGAGACAGAAUGGGUGAAUACAGUAAUAUUCUAGCAAUCAAUGAAAAGUAAUUUUGAAAAAAUGUAUUCACUUUUUUUUUUUAAUUAGGGCUGCUGUAGGGAAAUUCAAACAGUAGAAACAGUAGGAGUGGAAGGCAGCUGUACCAAACUGAAUCCUUGCCUUAAAAAUGAAUGUGAAGGAAAGAAAAACGAUGUCUGGCAGCAGCAGACAAGGAAUGCUGCACCAAGAAGUCUGCUAAUGCCAUAUGUACAACACGUGGCAGAAAGCAGUUCCUCCUUGCUCACCAGCCUUACAAUCCAUCAUAGCAAAGUGUUGACACUGCAGGUUGUACAAAAGGGCAUGUGAACAUCAAAGAGAAUGUCUUUGCCUUUGAAAAACCCUCGACUGGUCUGCAUGCUUGGCAGCAUUGACACGAAUCUGUCAGCACAAAAUCUUAUUGCUUUGCCAGCUUAACUAAUGUUUUAACUUCCUGAAAGUAACUUCCUGAAAGUUUUUAAUUAGCAGAAAGUUUGUGUGGAAAUUGAUGUCUCUCUUUGUUCUCUCGGUUGCAUCAGAUAAUCCCCUUCCAUAAUUCUGACUGAUAUCUAUAUUUUAGUUGAUCUGAUUUCUCUCUUGAUCUGAUGCAUAGCUAGGAUUUUGCUUUAAUUUUAUGGCUGGUACUGACUGACUGCCCUUCUGGCCUCUGAACACACCAAAGAGAAGAAUAAGUUGCAUCAGAUACCUCAACAAAAGAUCCCAACUUUCUCCCUGACCUUGCCUCGACUAUAUUUUUGGACCACAGAGAUACAUUCUCACUCAUUUGUUGUUCAGGUAUUUCUGGACAGCAUGAAAUGAAGAGAGUCCUAUCAGUUCUUAUUUGUGAAAUGGUAUGAUUGAUAACCCAAGAGGACUUCUUUCUCCCCAUCUCAUCUCUCUCCUCAGCACUCCAUAUUUUCUCUUUUCUUGUCUAAAAUACACUUUCUUCUUCCGACACAUGAAAGCAGUGCUGCUGCCCAGCUGCUGCGUUCAUUCUCAGUCCCUUUGUAACACCCCGUAGACCUCAUUUUUCCUCACUUGAACACUCCUCGAUUCAGAAGGCGAGUGUCACACUGCAGUGGGGACUGACCCUUCUUCUCUUUUGUGCUCACUGCCAGCAAAGGCUCCUUUGUAUCUCCCACUCUGACUCACACAUUGCUAGGAAUUUGCCUUUAAAAUUGCCCACCGCCCACCAUGUAUCUCAGAUUUCUGAUUAUUUUCUUCAACGAUCUGUGAAAUAUAGCAUCGUCGCCCCCCCCUUUUUUUUCUUUCUUAUGCAUACUUUGAUCUCUUGUUUUAAACAGUAAAGCUCUCCUCAGCAUUAAGGGCGAGAAGUCAGGGCUUUGUUUAUCCAUGAAAAAUGUUAUUUAUGACCUGCCAUAGGGACUUGUUCUUAUGUGCAGGGGGUUGUGAAGUGGGACAGUGGGUGAAUUCAUGACACCAGUCAGCAUGCAGAUAUGCAGGGAGAGCAGUGAGCCAAGUUAAGAUCGCAAGCACACACAGAGAGAAACUGGCAGAACGGCAGAGUUCAUCUCCCAUGAUAGUAAAUGGGAAAGCCCAGCUGCAACUUCGAGUGGCACAUUCAGAACUGAUUUUUUUUGUCAUGCACAUGGACCUCAGUAGCAUGAAUUUACCUUAGUUUGUUAAGCAAAUUAUUUUAGAGAGUCCUUUUUACAACUUCUUCUUCAUUUUGUCCAUGACUUUCCCAAUGAGUCCAUCCUUGGGGUCCCCACCACAAUUCUGCCAUUUUGGCCCUGGAUUUUGGCAUUGUGCCCUUGCUGCACAGCAGGUCAAUGGCAUCCUGGGUGCAUUAUCUCCAGCAGGCUGAGGGAUUGAUCCUUCCCCUCUGCUCCGCACUGGUGAAGCCACAUGUGGGGAGCUGGAUACAGUUCUGACCCCUCACACCAAUACAAGGGAGACCUAGGCAUACCAGAGAGAGCCCAGUGAAGGGCCAUAAGGAUGAGGAGGGGCCUGGAGCACCUCUCCUGUGAGGAAAGGCUGAGAGAUCUUGUUGGUCU